UACAGAAGUGGCAAGCGUUGUUCGGAAUUACUGGGCGUAAAGGGCGCGUAGGCGGCCUUCUAAGUCAGACGUGAAAUCCCCCGGCUUAACCUGGGAACUGCGUCUGAUACUGGGAGGCUUGAGUAUGGGAGAGGGAUGUAGAAUUCCAGGUGUAGCGGUGAAAUGCGUAGAUAUCUGGAGGAAUACCGGUGGCGAAGGCGGCCCCCUGGGCCGCUCCUGACGCUGAGACGCGAAGGCGCGGGGAGCGAACGGG
Molecule: ribosomal RNA, 253 nt
Filed under: uncultured bacterium
Lineage: Bacteria
Description: partial 16S ribosomal RNA
Rfam family: Bacterial small subunit ribosomal RNA
Source: RNAcentral